CCGUAGCAACCCCAGAGCCAAUACGCGCGCAACUCCCGACCCCUGGAAGGGAUGUAUUUAUUAGAUAAAAACCGACCGGGCUUGCCCGUUUUCCGGUGACUCAUGAUAACUUCACGAAUCGCAUGGCCUUGGUGCCGGCGAUGUUUCAUUCAAAUUUCUGCCCUAUCAACUUUCGAUGGUAAGGUAGUGGCUUACCAUGGUGGUAACGGGUGACGGAGGAUUAGGGUUCGAUUCCGGAGAGGGAGCCUGAGAAACGGCUACCACAUCCAAGGAAGGCAGCAGGCGCGCAAAUUACCCAAUCCUGAUACAGGGAGGUAGUGACAAUAAAUAACUAUACCGGGCUCUUUCGAGUCUGGUGAUGGGAAUGAGUACAACGUAAAACCCUUAACGAGGAUCCAUUGGAGGG
Molecule: ribosomal RNA, 406 nt
Filed under: uncultured eukaryote
Lineage: Eukaryota
Description: SSU rRNA
Rfam family: Eukaryotic small subunit ribosomal RNA
Source: RNAcentral